GUUCGAUUCCGGAGAGGGAGCCUGAGAAACGGCUACCACAUCCAAGGAAGGCAGCAGGCACGCAAAUUACCCACUCCCGGCACGGGGAGGUAGUGACAAAAAAUAACGAUACGGGACUCAUCCGAGGCCCCGUAAUCGGAAUGAGAACACCCUAAAUCCUUUAACGAGGAUCUAUUGGAGGGCAAGUCUGGUGCCAGCAGCCGCGGUAAUUCCAGCUCCAAUAGCGUAUAUUAAAGUUGUUGCGGUUAAAAAGCUCGUAGUUGGUUCUGCGUGCCACGCUGUCGGUUCACCGCCUGUCGGUGCAACUGGCAUGCCGUGGCAUGUCCUGUCGGUGGCCGACAGGCUUCGGGGCGCGCCCUAUGCGUUCACACGUGUAGGUCGCCGCGCACCGUUGUCCUCGUAGGCCGACUCAAUCCUACCGCGGUGCUCUUUACCGAGUGUCGAGGUAGGCCGACACUGUUUACUUUGAACAAAUUAGAGUGCUUCAAGCAGGCUCUGAAAGCAGCCUGAAUAGUGGUGCAUGGAAUAAUGGAACAGGACCUUGGUUCUA
Molecule: ribosomal RNA, 550 nt
Filed under: Pachycoris torridus
Lineage: Eukaryota; Metazoa; Arthropoda; Insecta; Hemiptera; Scutelleridae
Description: SSU rRNA
Rfam family: Eukaryotic small subunit ribosomal RNA
Source: RNAcentral